This 2933-nucleotide ribosomal RNA is filed under the name Escherichia coli. RNAcentral's name for it is "bacterial LSU rRNA". It matches the Rfam family "Bacterial large subunit ribosomal RNA". The record is from RNAcentral. Lineage: Bacteria; Pseudomonadati; Pseudomonadota; Gammaproteobacteria; Enterobacterales; Enterobacteriaceae.
GGGUUGUGAGGUUAAGCGACUAAGCGUACACGGUGGAUGCCCUGGCAGUCAGAGGCGAUGAAGGACGUGCUAAUCUGCGAUAAGCGUCGGUAAGGUGAUAUGAACCGUUAUAACCGGCGAUUUCCGAAUGGGGAAACCCAGUGUGAUUCGUCACACUAUCAUUAACUGAAUCCAUAGGUUAAUGAGGCGAACCGGGGGAACUGAAACAUCUAAGUACCCCGAGGAAAAGAAAUCAACCGAGAUUCCCCCAGUAGCGGCGAGCGAACGGGGAGCAGCCCAGAGCCUGAAUCAGUGUGUGUGUUAGUGGAAGCGUCUGGAAAGGCGCGCGAUACAGGGUGACAGCCCCGUACACAAAAAUGCACAUGCUGUGAGCUCGAUGAGUAGGGCGGGACACGUGGUAUCCUGUCUGAAUAUGGGGGGACCAUCCUCCAAGGCUAAAUACUCCUGACUGACCGAUAGUGAACCAGUACCGUGAGGGAAAGGCGAAAAGAACCCCGGCGAGGGGAGUGAAAAAGAACCUGAAACCGUGUACGUACAAGCAGUGGGAGCACGCUUAGGCGUGUGACUGCGUACCUUUUGUAUAAUGGGUCAGCGACUUAUAUUCUGUAGCAAGGUUAACCGAAUAGGGGAGCCGAAGGGAAACCGAGUCUUAACUGGGCGUUAAGUUGCAGGGUAUAGACCCGAAACCCGGUGAUCUAGCCAUGGGCAGGUUGAAGGUUGGGUAACACUAACUGGAGGACCGAACCGACUAAUGUUGAAAAAUUAGCGGAUGACUUGUGGCUGGGGGUGAAAGGCCAAUCAAACCGGGAGAUAGCUGGUUCUCCCCGAAAGCUAUUUAGGUAGCGCCUCGUGAAUUCAUCUCCGGGGGUAGAGCACUGUUUCGGCAAGGGGGUCAUCCCGACUUACCAACCCGAUGCAAACUGCGAAUACCGGAGAAUGUUAUCACGGGAGACACACGGCGGGUGCUAACGUCCGUCGUGAAGAGGGAAACAACCCAGACCGCCAGCUAAGGUCCCAAAGUCAUGGUUAAGUGGGAAACGAUGUGGGAAGGCCCAGACAGCCAGGAUGUUGGCUUAGAAGCAGCCAUCAUUUAAAGAAAGCGUAAUAGCUCACUGGUCGAGUCGGCCUGCGCGGAAGAUGUAACGGGGCUAAACCAUGCACCGAAGCUGCGGCAGCGACGCUUAUGCGUUGUUGGGUAGGGGAGCGUUCUGUAAGCCUGCGAAGGUGUGCUGUGAGGCAUGCUGGAGGUAUCAGAAGUGCGAAUGCUGACAUAAGUAACGAUAAAGCGGGUGAAAAGCCCGCUCGCCGGAAGACCAAGGGUUCCUGUCCAACGUUAAUCGGGGCAGGGUGAGUCGACCCCUAAGGCGAGGCCGAAAGGCGUAGUCGAUGGGAAACAGGUUAAUAUUCCUGUACUUGGUGUUACUGCGAAGGGGGGACGGAGAAGGCUAUGUUGGCCGGGCGACGGUUGUCCCGGUUUAAGCGUGUAGGCUGGUUUUCCAGGCAAAUCCGGAAAAUCAAGGCUGAGGCGUGAUGACGAGGCACUACGGUGCUGAAGCAACAAAUGCCCUGCUUCCAGGAAAAGCCUCUAAGCAUCAGGUAACAUCAAAUCGUACCCCAAACCGACACAGGUGGUCAGGUAGAGAAUACCAAGGCGCUUGAGAGAACUCGGGUGAAGGAACUAGGCAAAAUGGUGCCGUAACUUCGGGAGAAGGCACGCUGAUAUGUAGGUGAAGUCCCUCGCGGAUGGAGCUGAAAUCAGUCGAAGAUACCAGCUGGCUGCAACUGUUUAUUAAAAACACAGCACUGUGCAAACACGAAAGUGGACGUAUACGGUGUGACGCCUGCCCGGUGCCGGAAGGUUAAUUGAUGGGGUUAGCCGCAAGGCGAAGCUCUUGAUCGAAGCCCCGGUAAACGGCGGCCGUAACUAUAACGGUCCUAAGGUAGCGAAAUUCCUUGUCGGGUAAGUUCCGACCUGCACGAAUGGCGUAAUGAUGGCCAGGCUGUCUCCACCCGAGACUCAGUGAAAUUGAACUCGCUGUGAAGAUGCAGUGUACCCGCGGCAAGACGGAAAGACCCCGUGAACCUUUACUAUAGCUUGACACUGAACAUUGAGCCUUGAUGUGUAGGAUAGGUGGGAGGCUUUGAAGUGUGGACGCCAGUCUGCAUGGAGCCGACCUUGAAAUACCACCCUUUAAUGUUUGAUGUUCUAACGUUGACCCGUAAUCCGGGUUGCGGACAGUGUCUGGUGGGUAGUUUGACUGGGGCGGUCUCCUCCUAAAGAGUAACGGAGGAGCACGAAGGUUGGCUAAUCCUGGUCGGACAUCAGGAGGUUAGUGCAAUGGCAUAAGCCAGCUUGACUGCGAGCGUGACGGCGCGAGCAGGUGCGAAAGCAGGUCAUAGUGAUCCGGUGGUUCUGAAUGGAAGGGCCAUCGCUCAACGGAUAAAAGGUACUCCGGGGAUAACAGGCUGAUACCGCCCAAGAGUUCAUAUCGACGGCGGUGUUUGGCACCUCGAUGUCGGCUCAUCACAUCCUGGGGCUGAAGUAGGUCCCAAGGGUAUGGCUGUUCGCCAUUUAAAGUGGUACGCGAGCUGGGUUUAGAACGUCGUGAGACAGUUCGGUCCCUAUCUGCCGUGGGCGCUGGAGAACUGAGGGGGGCUGCUCCUAGUACGAGAGGACCGGAGUGGACGCAUCACUGGUGUUCGGGUUGUCAUGCCAAUGGCACUGCCCGGUAGCUAAAUGCGGAAGAGAUAAGUGCUGAAAGCAUCUAAGCACGAAACUUGCCCCGAGAUGAGUUCUCCCUGACUCCUUGAGAGUCCUGAAGGAACGUUGAAGACGACGACGUUGAUAGGCCGGGUGUGUAAGCGCAGCGAUGCGUUGAGCUAACCGGUACUAAUGAACCGUGAGGCUUAACCUUACAACGCCGAAGGUGUUU